RNAcentral lists this ribosomal RNA (276 nucleotides) under uncultured bacterium. RNAcentral's name for it is "partial 16S ribosomal RNA". It matches the Rfam family "Bacterial small subunit ribosomal RNA", at positions 82 to 354 of the family's 1533-position model. The record is from RNAcentral.
CCGUUGCCGGCGACCGGCGCACGGGUGAGUAACACGUAUGCAACCUGCCCGUGGCAGGGGGAUAAGCGGGGGAAACCCCGUCUAAUGCCGCGUAACGCGGCCUUGGGGCAUCCCAAGGCCGCCAAAGGGAGCAAUCCCGGCCACGGAUGGGCAUGCGGCGCAUUAGCUAGUCGGCGGGGUAACGGCCCACCGAGGCGACGAUGCGUAGGGGUUCUGAGAGGAAGGUCCCCCACACUGGUACUGAGACACGGACCAGACUCCUACGGAAGGCAGCAG